This 433-nucleotide ribosomal RNA is filed under the name uncultured bacterium. RNAcentral describes it as "partial 16S ribosomal RNA". It matches the Rfam family "Bacterial small subunit ribosomal RNA", at positions 29 to 507 of the family's 1533-position model. The record is from RNAcentral.
AGCGAACGCUGGCGGCAGGCCUAACACAUGCAACUCGAACGAACUCUUCGGAGUUAGUGGCGGACGGGUGAGUAACACGUGGGAACGUGCCUUUUGGUUCGGAAUAACUCAGGGAAACUUGUGCUAAUACCGAAUGUGCCCUUCGGGGGAAAGAUUUAUCGCCAUUAGAGCGGCCCGCGUCUGAUUAGCUAGUUGGUGAGGUAACGGCUCACCAAGGCGACGAUCAGUAGCUGGUCUGAGAGGAUGACCAGCCACACUGGGACUGAGACACGGCCCAGACUCCUACGGGAAGCAGCAGUGGGGAAUCUUGCGCAAUGGGCGAAAGCCUGACGCAGCCAUGCCGCGUGAAUGAUGAAGGUCUUAGGAUUGUAAAAUUCUUUCACCGGGGACGAUAAUGACGGUACCCGGAGAAGAAGCCCCGGCUAACUUCGUG